This 31-nucleotide non-coding RNA is filed under the name Homo sapiens (human). The record is from RNAcentral. Lineage: Eukaryota; Metazoa; Chordata; Mammalia; Primates; Hominidae.
UCCUACAAAGUCAAAAGGGGUAGGCUCCCUG